Molecule: ribosomal RNA, 449 nt
Filed under: uncultured bacterium
Lineage: Bacteria
Description: bacterial SSU rRNA
Rfam family: Bacterial small subunit ribosomal RNA
Source: RNAcentral
UCGAGAAUCUUUCGCAAUGGGCGAAAGCCUGACGAAGCGACGCCGUGUGUGCGAUGAAGGCCUUCGGGUUGUAAAGCACUUUCGCCUGGGAACAAGAGAAGUUGACUAAUAUUCAGCUAAUUUGAGGGUACUAGGUAAAGAAGCACCGGCUAACUCCGUGCCAGCAGCUGCGGUAAUACGGAGGGUGCAAGCAUUAAUCGGAUUUAUUGGGCGUGAAGAGCGCGUAGGUGGGAAAGAAAGUUGGUUGUGAAAGCUCGAGGCUCAACCUCGAAACCGCAUCCAAAACUCCUUUUCUAGAGGAUGGACGGAGAAAAUGGAAUUCCACGUGUAGCGGUGAAAUGCGUAGAUAUGUGGAAGAACACCAGUGGCGAAGGCGAUUUUCUAGUUUAUUCCUGACACUCAUGCGCGAAAGCAAGGGGAGCAAACAGGAUUAGAUACCCGUGUAGUCC